UACGGAGGGUGCAAGCGUUAAUCGGAAUUAUUGGGCCUAAAGCAUCCGUAGCCGGCUCUGUAAGUUUUCGGUUAAAUCUAUGCGCUCAACGUAUGGGCUGCCGAAAAUACUGUAGAGAUAGGGAGUGGGAGAGGUAGACGGUACUCGGUAGGAAGGGGUAAAAUCCUUUGAUCUAUCGAUGACCACCUGUGGCGAAGGCGGUCUACCAGAACACGUUCGACGGUGAGGGAUGGAAGCUGGGGGAGCAAACCGG
This 253-nucleotide ribosomal RNA is filed under the name uncultured archaeon. Its description in RNAcentral is "partial 16S ribosomal RNA". It matches the Rfam family "Bacterial small subunit ribosomal RNA", at positions 524 to 776 of the family's 1533-position model. The record is from RNAcentral.